ACAUGCAUCAUUUACUUUCAUUUUUAAACCAAAUUGCUGAAUUACCUUCCAAGUACAACUGUGGUCUCUAUUGUCUCUCAGUGUCUGCUUGCAUCUUUAAGUACACCAUAUUGAGGGGCUAAAGCAUGACCUUCCUGCCAUAGCUUUGUCUGCUGGGCGUAGAGUGGAGAAUGGCAGCCUAAACUUAGCGCGAUAUCUCCUUUGCACCUCCAGAAUUGGAAUACUUUGUUUACUAUGCUGGGACGACUUAAAAGAAACAAGCAGGACAUGUGGAGUGUUGCUUCCUUUCCUCAAUUACCAGCAGAUCACAGGUGUUUAUCUGGUUCCCGGAGGUGAUUCAGAAACCUUGGAAGAUUUGCGUUUUCCUUCUAAGCAAGAUCAACAAUGUCCGCUUUUGGAGGAAACUCCCUUCUUCAGAUUGUGGAUUAUAUGUGACCUUAAUCUACAGCCUCUCCUUUUGUUCAGAUGUCACUGGG
This 476-nucleotide long non-coding RNA is filed under the name Phascolarctos cinereus (koala). Its description in RNAcentral is "lncRNA (ENSPCIG00000030818.1)". The record is from RNAcentral. Lineage: Eukaryota; Metazoa; Chordata; Mammalia; Diprotodontia; Phascolarctidae.